GCAUAAUCAUUAGUCUUUUAAUUGAAGGCUGGAAUGAAUGGCGGGACGAAGUACUGACUGUCUCUUAUGGGCUAAUAUCGAAUUUAAUUUUUUAGUCAAAAAGCUAAAAUUUUGUUGAAAGACGAGAAGACCCUAUAGAUCUUUACACUUCAUUUUAUGUGUAAUUUUUAAUUUUUAUGUCUAGGAGAGAGUGUUUUGUUGGGGUGACGUGAAGAUAUAGCUAACUCUUCUUUUUUUUCUGACAUGAAUUAAUGAAUUUUUGAUCCAUUUUUAGUGAUAACAAGUUUAAGUUACCUUAGGGAUAACAGCGUAAUUCUUUUUGAGAGUUCUUAUUGACAAAAGAGUUUGCGACCUCGAUGUUGGACUAAGAAAAAUUUAGGGUGCAGUAGUUCUAAAUUUAGGUCUGUUCGACCUUUAAAUUCUUACAU
RNAcentral lists this ribosomal RNA (428 nucleotides) under Fittkauneuria adusta. RNAcentral describes it as "partial 16S ribosomal RNA". It matches the Rfam family "Bacterial large subunit ribosomal RNA", at positions 1959 to 2601 of the family's 2925-position model. Lineage: Eukaryota; Metazoa; Arthropoda; Insecta; Ephemeroptera; Oligoneuriidae. The record is from RNAcentral.